UGGGGAAUAUUGCGCAAUGGGGGAAACCCUGACGCAGCGACGCCGCGUGCGGGAUGAAGGCCUUCGGGUUGUAAACCGCUUUUGAUUGGGAGCAAGCCUUUUGGGUGAGUGUACCUUUCGAAUAAGCGCCGGCUAACUACGUGCCAGCAGCCGCGGUAAUACGUAGGGCGCAAGCGUUAUCCGGAAUUAUUGGGCGUAAAGAGUGCGUAGGCGGCAAAUUAAGUCAGAUGUGAAAACUAAGGGCUCAACCCAUAGAUUGCAUCUGAAACUGAUAUGCUUGAGUCAAGGAGAGGAAAGUGGAAUUCCUAGUGUAGCGGUGAAAUGCGUAGAUAUUAGGAGGAAUACCGGUGGCGAAGGCGACUUUCUGGACUUUUACUGACGCUCAGGUACGAAAGCGUGGGGAGCAAACAGG
This 412-nucleotide ribosomal RNA is filed under the name Verrucomicrobiota bacterium. RNAcentral describes it as "Verrucomicrobia bacterium partial 16S ribosomal RNA". It matches the Rfam family "Bacterial small subunit ribosomal RNA", at positions 355 to 776 of the family's 1533-position model. Lineage: Bacteria; Pseudomonadati; Verrucomicrobiota. The record is from RNAcentral.